Molecule: ribosomal RNA, 498 nt
Filed under: Serratia marcescens
Lineage: Bacteria; Pseudomonadati; Pseudomonadota; Gammaproteobacteria; Enterobacterales; Yersiniaceae
Description: bacterial SSU rRNA
Rfam family: Bacterial small subunit ribosomal RNA
Source: RNAcentral
UUAAUUGAAGAGUUUGAUCAUGGCUCAGAUUGAACGCUGGCGGCAGGCUUAACACAUGCAAGUCGAGCGGUAGCACAGGGGAGCUUGCUCCCUGGGUGACGAGCGGCGGACGGGUGAGUAAUGUCUGGGAAACUGCCUGAUGGAGGGGGAUAACUACUGGAAACGGUAGCUAAUACCGCAUAACGUCGCAAGACCAAAGAGGGGGACCUUCGGGCCUCUUGCCAUCAGAUGUGCCCAGAUGGGAUUAGCUAGUAGGUGGGGUAAUGGCUCACCUAGGCGACGAUCCCUAGCUGGUCUGAGAGGAUGACCAGCCACACUGGAACUGAGACACGGUCCAGACUCCUACGGGAGGCAGCAGUGGGGAAUAUUGCACAAUGGGCGCAAGCCUGAUGCAGCCAUGCCGCGUGUGUGAAGAAGGCCUUCGGGUUGUAAAGCACUUUCAGCGAGGAGGAAGGUGGUGAGCUUAAUACGCUCAUCAAUUGACGUUACUCGCAGAAG